GCCAUAGCACGAUGGAUGUAUGAUUUGGGAAUAACUUUUAAUGCUGUGAAUUAUGAUAUCCUUGGGGAAAUGAUUCUAGCAAUUAGAAAUUAUGGAAGAGAAAUGAAACCUCCAAAUUUUUAUGAGAUUAGAGUUCAGUUACUUAACAAAGAAGUGUAAAUCAUAAAUGAUCUUCUUGAGUCUCAUAAAGAAGAGUGGGAAAAUUAUGGAUGUACAUUGCUGUGUGAUGGAUGGACGGAUAAAAAAAGGAGAACCUUGAUUAAUUUCUUGGUUAAUAGUCCAAAGGGAAGUGUAUU
RNAcentral lists this unclassified non-coding RNA (296 nucleotides) under Hevea brasiliensis (rubber tree). The record is from RNAcentral. Lineage: Eukaryota; Viridiplantae; Streptophyta; Magnoliopsida; Malpighiales; Euphorbiaceae.